GGCACAGUGGAACAACUCCAACUCUAUUCCAUCAGUACUCUUCCCCAGAAUAAUGUA
RNAcentral lists this non-coding RNA (57 nucleotides) under Paraphysomonas bandaiensis. Lineage: Eukaryota; Chrysophyceae; Chromulinales; Paraphysomonadaceae. The record is from RNAcentral.